GACGAACGCUGGCGGCGUGCUUAACACAUGCAAGUCGAACGAUGAUCUCCCGCUUGCGGGGGUGAUUAGUGGCGAACGGGUGAGUAAUACGUGAGUAACCUGCCCUUGACUCUGGGAUAAGCCUGGGAAACCGGGUCUAAUACUUGAUACUACUUCCUGCCGCAUGGUGGGGGGUGUAAAGGGUUUUACUGGUUUUGGAUGGGCUCCCGGCCUAUCAGCUUGUUGGUGUAGUAAUGGCUCACCAAGGCGACGACGGGUAGCCGGCCUGAGAGGGUGACCGGCCACACUGGGACUGAGACACGGCCCAGACUCCGACGGGAGGCAGCAGUGGGGAAUAUUGCACAAUGGGCGGAAGCCUGAUGCAGCGACGCCGCGUGAGGGAUGACGGCCUUCGGGUUGUAAACCUAUUUCAGCAGGGAAGAAGCCACAAGUGACGGUACCUGCAGAAGAAGCGCCGGCUAACUACGUG
Molecule: ribosomal RNA, 469 nt
Filed under: uncultured bacterium
Lineage: Bacteria
Description: partial 16S ribosomal RNA
Rfam family: Bacterial small subunit ribosomal RNA
Source: RNAcentral